Molecule: long non-coding RNA, 709 nt
Organism: Mauremys reevesii (Reeves's turtle)
Lineage: Eukaryota; Metazoa; Chordata; Testudines; Geoemydidae
Exons: 4
Source: RefSeq, a predicted model, not a curated record
UAUUUGAGUCCAGAACAGAGGGAAUGGGCUGUAGCAAGUGUGCCCCAUUUGGUUUACAUGGGUUCUUGUAAGUAUGGUGCCAGUGGGCACAGAGGAGCUGUUUGCAUCCAUGAGAUCCUUAAGAGGCUUCAAGAGGUGCAGUUUGUGAAAGAAGGAUAGAUGUGAGGCCCCAUCUGGUGGAAAAAGAAUUUUGUCGGAAGAUGGGGGUCCAGUUGGGCAAAGAACAAGUGAAGUAGACGUAUGCCUGUAGGGGACAUGAAGUACUUAUUCCCAAAAUGGAAGUGGAUUUGAUGUCACGUUUGCAAGUUAAGAAUCCACUUUCCGACCAUAGAGUUGGAAAUAUCAGCAUCUCCGGAGAAGACUUCGGUGUGCGUUGUUUGGAGCAAUCGGGCUUUGAUAUUGUAUUAUUUGGGUCAAGAUGUGAAGUGUUGUCUGUUUGAUGGCUAGAAUGUAGUAGAGCAGUGGGGCUGAUGUCACUGUGUUCUGGUAGAUACCUGAGCAAUUAUAUCAUGAAAUGCCAUUAUUGUCAUUUCUGUGAUUCAAAUUGGAGAGGGUGGGUUCAUUUGUUUGGUCAAUUACAGGAACAUCACCACAUAAGUACUUGCACAAAAUGCAAUUGUUUUCUGAAAUGAAUGGUUUGUUUGCCACUUGGAAUGUUCUAGCCAUCAAAGUUGCAAGAGGACACAGUUUGGGAUGCCCCAAUAAAUGA